RNAcentral lists this ribosomal RNA (253 nucleotides) under uncultured bacterium. RNAcentral's name for it is "partial 16S ribosomal RNA". It matches the Rfam family "Bacterial small subunit ribosomal RNA", at positions 524 to 776 of the family's 1533-position model. The record is from RNAcentral.
UACGUAGGGGGCAAGCGUUGUCCGGAUUUAUUGGGCGUAAAGAGCGUGUAGGCGGUCAGGUAGGUCCGUUGUGAAAACUCGAGGCUCAACCUCGAGACGCCGAUGGAAACCAUCUGACUAGAGUCCGGAAGAGGAGAGUGGAAUUCCUGGUGUAGCGGUGAAAUGCGCAGAUAUCAGGAAGAACGCGCGUGGCUAAGGCCGCUCUCUGGGACGGUACUGACGCUGAGACGCGAAAGCGUGGGGAGCGAACAGG